GACGAACGCUGGCGGCGUGCUUAACACAUGCAAGUCGAACGGAAAGGCCCUGCUUUUGUGGGGUGCUCGAGUGGCGAACGGGUGAGUAACACGUGAGUAACCUGCCCUUGACUUUGGGAUAACUUCAGGAAACUGGGGCUAAUACCGGAUAGGAGCUCCUGCUGCAUGGUGGGGGUUGGAAAGUUUCGGCGGUUGGGGAUGGACUCGCGGCUUAUCAGCUUGUUGGUGGGGUAGUGGCUUACCAAGGCUUUGACGGGUAGCCGGCCUGAGAGGGUGACCGGCCACAUUGGGACUGAGAUACGGAGCAGACUCCUACGGGCGGCAGCAGUGGGGAAUAUUGCACAAUGGGCGGAAGCCUGAUGCAGCAACGUCGCGUGCGGGAUGCCGGCUUUCGGGUUGUAAACCGCUUUCGACUGUGCCGAAGCGUGAGUGACGGUAAUGGGUAAAGAAGCACCGGCUAACUACGUG
This 468-nucleotide ribosomal RNA is filed under the name uncultured bacterium. Its description in RNAcentral is "partial 16S ribosomal RNA". It matches the Rfam family "Bacterial small subunit ribosomal RNA", at positions 28 to 507 of the family's 1533-position model. The record is from RNAcentral.